UACGGCCGUGGUUCAGCUCGGUUACCGCGAUGGUCAAUACCGUCUUGUAUAAAUAAAACGAGUAAACUGCGAAUGGCUCAUUAAAACAGUUAUAGUUUAUUUGAUACAUUAAAUGGAUAACUGUAGAAAAACUAGAGCUAAUACAUGCCAAAGCCUCACGGUUGUAUUUAUUAGAUAUUCCAAUUAGGUGAAUCAUAAUAACUUCGCAAAUCUCGGUUUUGCCGAGAUAAAUCAUCCAAGUUUCUGCCCUAUCAUGCUUUCGAUGGUAGUGUAUUGGACUACCAUGGCUUCACGGGAACCAGACAAAAGGGUCGAUUCUGGAGACUGAUUUUGAGAACGGCUACUCCUCCCCCGCCGGAGCAGCGCGUAAUUACCAUCCUGACUCAGGAGGAGUGCAGAUAUACACGCAUUUCUUGUGUUGAGGAGGUUUCCAACGACCCUAGACAUAAGGCAGCUGGGCACACCCGUAUCCGUUAUACGAAUAAGUGUGAGUAAAGUCGAUUGAUCAGUGGAUUCCAGAGCCUCAUUAUGUCGAAAUAGGUAGAGUUGAACUCGAAAGUCAUGAUGUCUAAGGGUUUUAGUGUAAUGUGGUAGAAAGUAGGAAGGGAGAAAGGGGGGCCCA
This 622-nucleotide ribosomal RNA is filed under the name uncultured rumen protozoa. RNAcentral describes it as "bacterial SSU rRNA". The stretch from base 42 to 323 matches the Rfam family "Eukaryotic small subunit ribosomal RNA", at positions 57 to 388 of the family's 1831-position model. The record is from RNAcentral.